This is a long non-coding RNA of Oncorhynchus keta (chum salmon), 1871 nucleotides long. RefSeq lists it as uncharacterized. The record is from RefSeq and is a predicted model, not a curated record. Lineage: Eukaryota; Metazoa; Chordata; Actinopteri; Salmoniformes; Salmonidae. The transcript has 2 exons.
UUUAGCUUGGAAACACGAUAACAUUGAAAAAGGAGACACAUAAUUAGUAGGAAACCCUUUGAUCAUGAUGUCGCCAGAUUGAAUGUAGAUGCAGUAUAACUUUAGCCAGCUAACUAAGUCUGAGGGGGACCACCGUCUUUUAGCUAGAUAUGAUUAGCAUUGUUAGCUUUUAUGAUUAUCUUUGAUAGUAACAGUAAUGGCAACAAUGCAAUCUCUCUAAAGUAAAUUUAACGACAUCUAAUAUGGCAGUUGUUUCCUACUAAUUAUUUUCCUACUUUAGCAAUGUCAUCAUAUUUUUAUGCCACUAAAUAAGUGUAAUUUAGACAAAACAGUUACAUUAGCCUCCGAGGUGCAACCCAUGUCUAGGGCACAAAUAUAUAUUGGAUGCAGCUAUAGUGGUACAAGCUAACUCAUGUCUGACUACCAUAGUGUACUAACUAGCAGCAACAAACUCAAACCAACCCAGUACUAAAGUAAAACAUAUCAAAGUUGGUUGCGUAGUGUAACGGUACCGCCAGUCAGACUACGUCUGUAAAGCAUAUAAUUAGCUUCCAAACAAGAUUACGUUAUUUCUCGAGCUAUGUUUAUAAUUAAAGGAUAAUGACAACCGUUUACCCUGUUUUUCUAUUAGACAAAGUACACCGUUUGGUGCCUGAUUAAUCCCCUGGCCAUGAAUGGAGGCCGGGACCUACCAGAAGGAGCAAAGAUGAGUAUCCUAACAUGUCCAGUAUUGUGAUUUCAAUGGUUUAGCGACCUCCAAAAAUAAUUUAAUUCACUGUUAUCUUGCUAUUUUCACAGCUUGUCAGGCAAGACCUCAGACUAAAAGUGUGCCAUGUAACACCUCCGUUGGUGCCAGAGUCUCCCACGACACUUAGGAAAAGGACACGCCAUCAUGAGGCCUCUGAUAGUGACCUGAGUUGAUUCCCUGAUGACACAGACUAUUUCAUCAACAGUGACAGAGCCCCUCUCAUUCAACACCACCUCAUAAGAUUGCCUGCUGCAGUUGUUCAAGAGAUUUCCAGUUUGCAGUUGAACAUGCACCAUAGAGAAUACCAGCAAGGGGGCACUGAUCAGCAUCAUGCAGACAUGUCUUCGCUGUGAGCAUUCCUACGAAUGGAACAGUCAGCCACAUGUUGGCAAGUAUCCGGACAUUAACCUUCACAAAUACAGAAGGUAACCCACUUCAUUACUUUGAUACAUUUGAUAACCCAAUUGUGAAACGUAUUUUAUGUAAACUGAUAUUAUUUUCUGCUUCUUUUCUACUUCUUAGAUGAAAAUAAUGUCCAGGGCAUAACCUUGCCUGGUGGAACAAGCUUAUUGCUUGUUCACCAUUAUGUUUCACUUCCCAUUUUAUGAUAUUUAUUUAAUUUUAUUUACUUGACCUUUAUUUAACUAGGCAAGUCAGUUAAGAACAAAUUCUUAUUUUCAAUGACUGCCUAGGAACAGUGGGUUAACUGCCUUGUUCAGGGGCAGAACAACAGAUUUUUACCUUGUCAGCUCGGGGAUUUGAUCUUGCAAUCUUUCGGUUACUAGUCCAAAGCUCUAACCACUAGGCUACCUGCCGCCGAUAUCUGAAGUGAAACAGAAAGGUGAACACAACGAUCAGGUUGGUUCCACCAGGCUAAUCAUAACCACCAUUGAUAAUGGUGUGUGUGUGUGUGUGUGUGUGUGUGUGUGUGUGUGUGUGUGUGUGUGUGUGUGUGUGAGUGAGAGACCAGUAUUUUUGAUGAGGGGCCAAGAGCUGAUCUAUGCUGCUAUUGGGGCUCUGGCAAAGUGCUCACCAAAGUAUUCAUACCCCUUGACUUAUUCCACAUUUGUUGUGUUACAGCCUGAAUUCUAAAUGGAUUAAAGAUAUGUUUUUCUCACCUGUC